Non-coding RNA from Oreochromis niloticus (Nile tilapia), 743 nucleotides. The record is from the annotation of a RefSeq genome assembly. Lineage: Eukaryota; Metazoa; Chordata; Actinopteri; Cichliformes; Cichlidae.
UGAUCCAUCCCACUGAAUCCAGCCUGAAAGCUAAAGUGCUUCUAUCUGUUCACUAACAGGAAGUGUAAGAAAGAAGUGAAAAAAUAUAUAAAACAGGAAACAGCGAUUCAGGGAGGAGCACGGAGGAGUGACUGAACUACAGAAGAGAGAAAACCUUCCACGUUUCAUUAACAGACCACAAAGGUUAAAGAUUUCCAACAUGCUGCCACUGGACUGUUAUCUUAUUUCUCUACUGAUGAUGACUUCUCUAACAGGAGUCAGAUGUGAAGAACUCACUGCAGACAACGAAGACACGUCCAGUUUAGAAAGCAGCGCAGUUACUCUGUCCUACAGAUACUCCAAACAAGCGUAUGAAAGCGAUGAAUUUUACUGGUAUCGACAACAUCCAGGAAAAGCACCAGAGCUCCUGAUCGCUCACAUGGGAUCAAAGAAUUUAAUGAAACGAGAAUCCUCCAGAGUGUCUUUCAAAGUGCUCGAUGACAGAAGACAAAUAACAAUUUCCUCUGCUGCAGUGACAGACUCUGCUGUGUACUACUGUGCUCUGCAGCCCACAGUGACAGGAAACACCAAAACUCUGUACAAAAACCUUUGGAGCAAAGACAACAGAAUACUCCACAACAUCCACUAGAGGGAGCCACACACCUUUGUUAGGAUACAGACUAACACAUAUCACACAGCUGUGAUGAAGAGCUUCAGGUGAAGUUAAUGUGAUGUGAGCCUCCUCCUCCUCCUGACUACAGAAA